GCGGGCGUAGCCAAGCGGUAAGGCAUUGGAUUGUGGCUCCAUGAUUCGCGGGUUCGAACCCCGUCGUUCGCC
RNAcentral lists this transfer RNA (72 nucleotides) under Monomastix sp. OKE-1. RNAcentral's name for it is "tRNA-His". It matches the Rfam family "tRNA". Rfam says of the family: Transfer RNA (tRNA) molecules are approximately 80 nucleotides in length. The record is from RNAcentral. Lineage: Eukaryota; Viridiplantae; Chlorophyta; Mamiellophyceae; Monomastigales; Monomastigaceae.